Molecule: long non-coding RNA, 2522 nt
Organism: Oncorhynchus mykiss (rainbow trout)
Lineage: Eukaryota; Metazoa; Chordata; Actinopteri; Salmoniformes; Salmonidae
Source: RefSeq, a predicted model, not a curated record
UAUUGUUUCUUUUUCAUGUCUGUGCUUCGUUGUUCUGUAUUAUGUUUUCAUUUAUUUAUGAAAUUAUUCCAACCCCAAACCUGCUUCCCGACUCCCAGCGCACACGUUGCACUUUAAAAGUAGCGUUUGACUAAUUCAUGCGAUGGAGGGCCGUUUAAGGGGGACCAUGGUUUUGGUACAUCCUGUUCUUUUGGUAUCUGUCAAGGACACAGCUGUGUGGAGCCAAGGUUUAUGGCCAUGCUGGACCAGUACACCCCUAAGCUGUUGUCCUUAUUCCAUUCCAAGGGAGUAUCACUUGGACACAGAUUGCAGGUCAUGCUGGAUGUCCUACUCCAGGACCGAAGCAGUACCUCCAUUGAGAAGACCAGUGGAUUUGUUAACCACCUGGCUGAAGAUGAACCCUGAAUUACAGAAAAUACUAAAUGAAAGCAGAAAGUCAAAAUGACUCAUCAGUAAACGGGAUCCUCUAAGCAUUCUGAAUUGCCCUAGAGGCACCAAAACAUUACAUUUCUGAACAUUUAAGAUUGUUCCACUGAUGUCAAAAAGCUGAUUUACCUAAGUUGGAGACCAAAAGGUGUGGUAACUCGUAUGUUUAAAGUUUAGUAAUGUUAGGUACAGUGGAACUUUUUGUAAAAGUAUCAACCUACGUGACAGAGGGCCAACCAACUUUCGAGAAUGCAGUGAUGAGUGCUAAAACUGUUGCCUGUAAUAAAGUGCAUCUAACGGCUUUAAUGAAGUAGCCGCUGCGUUCAUAUAGUCUAGGACCAAUAGGCACGUUAAUUGAGUGUUUACCGAGGCAGGACCUAGUUCUAGAGAAGAAUCCCAUUUUUAUUCUCCGCUUCUUAACUAACCCAAUAUGCUUUUUAAAAGACAGCAUUUUAUUUGCCCAGAUACUUGUAAGCAGGGACAUGAUCAAUAUGGAUACUAUCCAAAGUACAUAUGCUUAAAUCAGACUUUAUGCACUCUCGAGAACAUAUACUUAGUUUACAAGGGGCUCCUGAGUGACGCAGCAGUUUAAGGCACCACUAGAGACCAUGGUUCAAUUCCAGGCUGUAUCACAACCGGCCGUGAUUGGGAGUCAUAAGGGGGCUAGGGUUAGGCCAUCAUUGAAAAUAAGAAUUUGUUCUUAACAGACUUGCCUAGUUAAAUAAAAUAGAAAACCUGCAUUCAAUACUAAUUUCAAGUCUUUCUGUAAUGCAAUGAAAGACUGUAGUUGGAGCCUGGCCAACCGUGGAGGGACUAGCAAACAGUUUCAUCAGUAUACAAGUGCAGGUUACAGACAAGUCGAUAUUGUUAAUGUAAAAAAGUACAAGACUCAACAACCCCUGCAGCACACCUUUCAUAAUAUCCGGGAAACCUGAUUUAACACCAUCAGCAGAUACAUAGUUCUGUCAAGUAAUUUCUAAAACAGUUACAUGCAGCUAGGUCUAGGCCAAUUGAGGGAAGCCUCUAAAUUAGAGGUGCAUGAGCAACAGUAUCGAUAGCCUUUGACAGGUCAAUGAAGAGGGCAGCACAAUGUUGCCUUUUAGCCAUACAAUGAACCACAUUUAUGACUACGGAUGCAGCAGAGAUAGUGCUAUGACCUGGUCUAAAACCCAACUGAUGUGCAUUUAUAAUACAUUUCAAAGAUAAAGAGCAAAGCUGAUAAUUUAAUCAAGGAAUCUAAUAUUUUAGCUAGGCAAGAGGAUUUAGAAAUAGGGCAAUAAUUAUUUAGCACCUUUUGAAGGGGGAUUACAUGGGCCGCCUUCCAAACCUUGGGGAUAGUACCAGAUAUGAUCUUCAGGUAAAAAGGAGUUAAUGAUUCAGCAAAUCGGGAGGCAGAGAGCUGCAGCAAAAAUAGAUCAAGCAUAUCAGCCCCAGUGGAUUUUUUAAAUAUCAAUAUUAAGGCAUCUAGCACAUCAGAUAGUAAAUUGUUGAAAUUAAAACAAAGAUUCACCAGAUAUAACUCAACGCGAAACCCAGAUGCAGACACAGGAGGCCGAUGGUUGAAGUCAUUGAUGUUUAAGAAUCCAAAAAGGAGUAGGCAUGAGAAUGGUCGCGGAAGGGCUAAAGGUCAAAACCAGAUCAGAGUCCAGGAGGUACAGAAUGGCAGGCAGGCUCGAGGUCAAGGCAGGCAGAAUGGUUAGGCAGGCAAGUACAGAGUCCAGAAACAGGCAAGGGUAAAAAUCCAGGAGGACUAGCAAAAGCAGAAGAACAGGAAAAGCGACUGGUUGACUUGGACAUACAAGACGAACUGGCACAGAGAGCCAGGAAACACAGGGAUAAAUACACUGGGGAAAACAAGCAUUUCAUUUUCCAUUUGUUUUGUCUUGUCUUCCUACACACCUGGUUUCAAUCCCAUUCAUUACCUGUUGUGUAUUUAACCCUCUGUUUCCCCUCAUGUCUUUUUUCAGAUUGUUUGUUAUUUCAGUGUUGUGUUGGUGCGUGAUCGGGUCCUCGUACCCACUUUGUUUUAUUUGUUACAUUUAGUGUUGGAGUUCUGUUUUCGUCUGUUAUUAAAUACUCCAUUACACUCAGUUUGA